Molecule: long non-coding RNA, 533 nt
Organism: Zingiber officinale
Lineage: Eukaryota; Viridiplantae; Streptophyta; Magnoliopsida; Zingiberales; Zingiberaceae
Exons: 2
Source: RefSeq, a predicted model, not a curated record
UUCAUUAUUAAACCCUAAGUUUAAUUUCCUUAAAGACUUCUGUCGCUCACCCCUCUCCUGAUUAUUCUAUCUUCCACUCCCCGUCGAUGCCGCUCUGCCAAGUCCAGCCAUUCGACACCGCUCGUUUGCCAGAGCAACUCGAAGCCAGCAGUAAACUUUAACCCUAUCUCCCGAUUCUCAUACAGUUGUUCCCUGCCGGCCGUCGAUCAUCGACAAACCAAUCUUCCUCCUCCUUCUGAUCCAGCUCGCCGGUUGCUUCCUCCUGUUCACCCAACAAUGGUGCCAAAUAGGGAAAGGCAAGUAGAUUUUCCCUUGUAGGUGUAGGAGAUGGCACCAAGGGGGUGAUAGAGGAUGUGGAGGUGGAGUAACUGAGGAGAUAAGAUGGAAUGCAUAACACAUUGUCUAGGGGGCUUAAGAGCAUGUUAAUAACUGUAGUCUUUUGAUUGUUUUGUGGAUGUGAGUUGGAGACUAUUCGUUUUAUAUUUUCAUGUUUUAUCAUUUGGGAGUUUAAGAAAAUUUUCAUUCGAAAGAUA